GUCCAUGGGAAAGCCAGAUUCACUGAACAAUCAUAGACCUACUUUAUCAGGGUACCCUAAUAAACUGCUUUUAAAUUAUCUUCCAACUCAGUUGCUUAUUGGAAAGCUUCAAACAAUGGAUCAAAGAAUUAAAAUAUGCCAAUUUUAAUCAUCCCUGGCAAAAUAAGCCAGCCAAGGUUCUGAGAUGGAAUUCAGGUGGGCACCGGUUUCUGAAUCACCUGAGAAGUCAGCCAGCACCUUCCUGAUUCCCUUACCCAAUCCGCUGUCCUUUGGACUGCAAUACAAACAUCCAUUUCCACUCUCUCAACGUAAAAUAACUCGGAGCCCCUGUAACUAUCCUGCCGGCUACUGAACUAAAGUGCAAAAUCCACUCUAGCAUGAUCAUGGAAUACCAAUACCGAUUGAAUUGCACGAAGUUGCAACAAAUACAAUUAAAAUUGGUUAAAGGAAGAUCACCCUAAAUGUAGCCACUUGUCAAAAAUGGUGUAGGGUCUCCUGCUUGGGCGGGUGGGGGGUGGGGAAUUGGACUAGAUGACCUACAAGGUCCCUUCCAAAUCUGAUUAUCUGUAUCUCUAGCCACCAUCCUGCUCUCCGUCCCGAGAAAUUGAUUCUAUCCUCCUUUUCCCC
This is a non-coding RNA of Pseudonaja textilis, 627 nucleotides long. The record is from RefSeq and is a predicted model, not a curated record. NCBI's taxonomy places the organism in Eukaryota, Metazoa, Chordata, Lepidosauria, Squamata, Elapidae.